This 466-nucleotide ribosomal RNA is filed under the name uncultured bacterium. RNAcentral's name for it is "partial 16S ribosomal RNA". It matches the Rfam family "Bacterial small subunit ribosomal RNA", at positions 28 to 507 of the family's 1533-position model. The record is from RNAcentral.
GACGAACGCUGGCGGCGCGCCUAACACAUGCAAGUCGAACGAGCGAGAGAGAGCUUGCUUUCUUGAGCGAGUGGCGAACGGGUGAGUAACGCGUGAGGAACCUGCCUCAAAGAGGGGGACAACAGUUGGAAACGACUGCUAAUACCGCAUAAGCCCACGACCCGGCCUCGGGUUGAGGGAAAAGGAGCAAUCCGCUUUGAGAUGGCCUCGCGUCCGAUUAGCUAGUUGGUGAGGUAACGGCCCACCAAGGCGACGACCGGUAGCCGGACGGAGAGGUUGAACGGCCACAUUGGGACUGAGACACGGCGCAGACUCCUAGGGGAGGCAGCAGAGGGGAAUAUUGCACAAGGGGGGAAACCCUGAUGCAGCGACGCCGCGUGGAGGAAGAAGGUCUUCGGAUUGUAAACUCCUGUUGUUGAGGAAGAUAAUGACGGUACUCAAAAAGGAAGUGACGGCUAACUACGUG